Molecule: long non-coding RNA, 995 nt
Filed under: Sus scrofa (pig)
Lineage: Eukaryota; Metazoa; Chordata; Mammalia; Artiodactyla; Suidae
Description: lncRNA (ENSSSCG00065040260.1)
Source: RNAcentral
AUGCUCAUUCUCCAUCAGCGUGCUCCGUCUGUCUGGGGGAAGGAUUUUGUUGACUGCAAUUUGAAACUUCCGUCGAAUUUAAGGGGUAGUGGCAACUCAGACAGCAGCUUAUACACCUGUGUUCCUGCGAUGCUCUUUCCGUCACAGCCCUGGGCAGCUUUUUGGACCUUUUGGCUGCCAUCCUUUUCCAGCCGAGAAGCUUUUCUUCUGUUUUAUGCUACCACCACCUGCUGUCCUGUUCCUACCACACAGAAACUCGUCUCCCCUUUUCCCAAAGGAACGAAUCUGACUGCAAGGCCACGAUAGGAAUAUCUUUCAGGGAGAUUAAGCAAUGACACAACUUUUCGAGGCUUAAUUUUAAAAGCACAGACUUUUAAAAUGAACGUGUUAUUUUAAAUGCCUGUAAAGAAAGUACUUUUCUUUUAGUCAUGUGAUGAUAAAGGGCUGAAUAUGAUUUUCACCAUGGCAAGAGGAAACGAUCGGAUGGGUGAUCCUUUUCAUUUAUUUUUAUUUAACAAACAUUUAAAUCGUGUUUAGUAUAUGUCGGGCACUAUUUUAAGUUCUCUAUCAGGAUAAGUCUUGUAAUCCUUAUAACAACCCUGUGAAGUAGGUUCUAUUAUUAUUCCCAUUUUGGAGAUGAGAGACCCAAGGCACAAAGAGGUCAAAUAACAUGCUCAGGGUUGCUGUAGUGGGUUACGUUCGUGUUUAAAAUAUUAGAUGCUCCUCCCUGUUGGCAUCAGUCUCAGCUAUGUUACUUGCAGUGCUUUCCUUUCUCCAUGUACAUUCGGCCUGACCGGGUGACUGGCAUUGUCCUAUGACAUCUGAACAGAGCAAAAGGUUCCGAGCAAAAGCCUUUUUUUAAAAAAAAGUCAGCUCAGAGUCCACCAUGUUCUUCCCUUCUUUAUCCAGGAAAGCAGUAGUGUUUGAGAGAGGGGAUGUUCUUUCAUAUUGGAUUUGAGAAUAAAGACAGAUGGAGCGGAACUGGAGCUGACCCC